GCCAGUAUGGCUCAGUGGUAGAGCAUAGGCCUGCUCACACACCAAAGAGUCUUGGGUUCAAUUCCCCAUUAAAGGCA
This 77-nucleotide transfer RNA is filed under the name Myotis brandtii (Brandt's bat). It matches the Rfam family "tRNA". From Rfam's summary of the family: Transfer RNA (tRNA) molecules are approximately 80 nucleotides in length. Their secondary structure includes four short double-helical elements and three loops (D, anti-codon, and T loops). Lineage: Eukaryota; Metazoa; Chordata; Mammalia; Chiroptera; Vespertilionidae. The record is from Rfam by way of RNAcentral.